Molecule: long non-coding RNA, 509 nt
Filed under: Homo sapiens (human)
Lineage: Eukaryota; Metazoa; Chordata; Mammalia; Primates; Hominidae
Description: non-protein coding SNHG7:11
Source: RNAcentral
AGGGUUUGCUGGCGUCUCGGUUAAUAGCAGUAACGGCAGCCGCUUGUGUUCUUGAUUCUUUGCCAAGCAUUCUUGUUAUUUAACACGGGAAGGAGGUGACUUCGCCUGUGAUGGACUUCCAGUGUGAGCACUGGCCAGAGUGACCAGGCUGACCAGCACCAGCCCUGAUCCAGAUGCAGAGGCCAGGAUGUGGGCCCAGCCCUGUGCCAGGAGGCUGGCUGGAAUAAAGGGAUGGGCAGGCUGGCAUGGGGGCAGCCGCUGCCCCUGCCUGGGUGUUGCUGUGUAUUCCUGCCGGCCAGGGGCCACUGCCAGGACCACGCCUCCCUUUUCAUAUCCCGAUUCUUAAGUUCUGCUAUUGUGGUAUUCUGGUGGAGAAAAAAGAACCGCGUGGCUGUUUUUGAACUGCCUGGAACCUAAGACCCUGAAUUCUUUUCCCCCCCAAGGGGAAAAUCUAUAUGGAAAACAUUUAUUUUAAAAUACAGGAUGAAGUGAAUUAAAAGAUUUAAAUG